GUUGCUUCAUAUGGUGAACUCUCUCUUGUAAAAAUGGGGGAUGUUCAAGUUUCCGAAGCAUAGAUUAAUAAUUUUUUGCCAGUAUUUAAACAGCGCCGUGUGUUCUUUCUUGUUGCACCGUGCUACCUGUCUCCUGGUACAUUU
This is a small nucleolar RNA of Quercus robur (English oak), 144 nucleotides long. RefSeq annotates it as small nucleolar RNA snoR137. The record is from RefSeq and is a predicted model, not a curated record. Lineage: Eukaryota; Viridiplantae; Streptophyta; Magnoliopsida; Fagales; Fagaceae. The transcript has a single exon.